AGAAAAAUCUUCAUGGAGUGGCAAAAGUUGUUUACCUGAAGCUCACAAGAUGUAUCCAGAAAAUAUCACCAGGGAUCAGAUCAAGCCUGACCCCCAUUUUACAUCUUCUGUAACCAGAAGCACUCCAAGAACAACACUUUCAUUCAUGGACUUAACAACUACAUUAGAUCAUACCAGCCUGUCACUUCAAAGUCACCAGUGUCAAGGAACAUUUCAAAUUGGCUUAAAGCAUUGUUUUGGAGGUGUGAAUAAUGAAGCCAAGGACAUUAGCAACAUCAUGAAAGCAGGCAUCAAGUGAAUAGAGAAGAUUCUAUGGAUGUAGAAGAGGUCCCUGGGUUUCCGAAUUGCCACUGGAUUGCCUCUAUCAAAUACACAAGAGUUUCAUGAGUGAGAAAUAACCUUCUGUUGCUUUAAAUCUUGGGUUGUGCAAUACAUCAGUGAGCCUACCAUGACUAAUACAUUCUAUGGAUGCAGAUUUCUCUUCUCUGGCCAUUGACAUGAGUGUGCUUUCUGGAUGCAGUCACAGGGGACCCAAGAUUCUUGGACAGAAUUCUCGCCGGGAGCCAACUCAGCCUGAUCUGCUGGCAUCUCUCAAGUAUCAGAAGUCAACAAAAUGGUUUGCCUUGAAGACUUGGCCAGAGCAGCAGCCAAACCUUGAAGGGCAAUAUCCUUACCAACAUGUGAUCUGAAGGAGCUCUGAACCCUCCAGUGAGACAUCAGCCCAUCAGACUCACAGAGAACAGCAGGAAGGCCAAAGACUCAAGAUUUAUCUAUCCUUGAAGUGAGCAAAAUUCCUUGUUAUUCAGUGAUGCUGAUUACAACAGGCCUCCGUUAUACGAAGGGAAAACAUCCCAGACCCCCCAGUGAAUGCCUGAAACUGGAUUCUACUGAACCCUGAGAUGGUACUAAGUGACUAACGGGUGAAUAGCGUGUACAGCAUGGAUACACUAGACAAAGGGAGGAUUCGCAUCCCGGGCUGGUCAGCAAGAGGUUUCAUCACCCCACUCAAAAUGGCAGGACCGUAUGAACCUGAAUCCAGAGAAACGGCUCAUCAGUCUCCAAUCCUCUGAUUUUCUAAACCAGGACUACAUUAUAUUAAAACCAGAAAAAGCAAUACCUCUUUUCACAGAAUGGACUUUCUGGUGGAAAUGGGAGGAACCAAAAGAAGGCUGACUUCUUCAUUUUGACACCCUGCCCUGACUGCAGAACGUGAUUUCCCUAAAAGACUGAAUGUUAACCUCAAAGCCUGGUCAACCAACAUGCAGGAGAAAUCUUGACCAAGGCUCUGAGCAUGCUGUGGUCCCAGUGGUGAGGGUGUGAUAUGCACUGUCUGUUCCUGGAGUCACAGUGCUCAUCUUGUGGUAAAGACCUCUUGGAAGAAUGUCUUCAAAGGCACAUCUCCAGCUGGGAGUCCUUGUUUCCUGAUUUUUUUUUUUAAGUUUAUGUUAUAUGAACAAAUGAGACUGCUUUCCCGGCAGGAGUAGCCCUCAGACGCCCACUGUGAGCCUACUUUCUGGAAGAAGCCAACUCAGACAGACCACAGUGUGUGCACAGCAUACGUGGCUGCUGGCUGUGGAUGAGAAAGUAUUCCUGAUCUGUCAGAAUAAUGAUUUCAGCGUGUUCUCAGCAGGUCCUCAGUGUGAUCCCAUGAGGAUACCCUCAACCCCUUGCAUGACAUGUUGUACUUGGAGUCCUUCCCCAUUUCAAUUUCAGCAUCAGUGGGAGGGAAAUAGCAAAACAGCAUUCCUUCAUGUAGAUAACCAGUAGGCAGCAGGCUACUCCUGGUUCGUAACAUAACUCCACCAGUGUAUUCUGGCAGCCGGGCUUACUUAAGGGAGAGCACAGACAUUCCCUGCUCAAAAACAAAACUGCUAAACGUGACUCCGGUAGCCUCCAUGCUCUCUGCAAGAAUAAAAUCCUUGAAGAAAAAUUGUGAUAAGAAGUCUGUCUUUGGAGUCAGCCUGAGCACAAUCUUGCAUCUCCAGUUACCACCUGGGUGGCUUUAUUCACUUAAGAAAUACCUGUAGGAUACAUACUACAUGGCAGGCAUGCUUCUCAGAUGUUAG
This 2066-nucleotide long non-coding RNA is filed under the name Homo sapiens (human). RNAcentral's name for it is "PREDICTED lncRNA (TCONS_00087809)". Lineage: Eukaryota; Metazoa; Chordata; Mammalia; Primates; Hominidae. The record is from RNAcentral.